AUUGAACGCUGGCGGCAGGCCUAACACAUGCAAGUCGAACGGUAACAGGAAGAAGCUUGCUUCUCUGCUGACGAGUGGCGGACGGGUGAGUAAUGUCUGGGAAACUGCCUGAUGGAGGGGGAUAACUACUGGAAACGGUAGCUAAUACCGCAUAACGUCGCAAGACCAAAGAGGGGGACCUUCGGGCCUCUUGCCCUCGGAUGUGCCCAGAUGGGAUUAGCUAGUAGGUGGGGUAACGGCUCACCUAGGCGACGAUCCCUAGCUGGUCUGAGAGGAUGACCAGCCACACUGGAACUGAGACACGGUCCAGACUCCUACGGGAGGCAGCAGUGGGGAAUAUUGCACAAUGGGCGCAAGCCUGAUGCAGCCAUGCCGCGUGUAUGAAGAAGGCCUUCGGGUUGUAAAGUACUUUCAGCGGGGAGGAAGGGAGUAAAGUUAAUACCUUUACUCAUUGACGUUACCCGCAGAAGAAGCACCGGCUAACUCCGUG
RNAcentral lists this ribosomal RNA (490 nucleotides) under uncultured bacterium. Its description in RNAcentral is "partial 16S ribosomal RNA". It matches the Rfam family "Bacterial small subunit ribosomal RNA", at positions 30 to 507 of the family's 1533-position model. The record is from RNAcentral.